This 405-nucleotide ribosomal RNA is filed under the name uncultured bacterium. Its description in RNAcentral is "bacterial SSU rRNA". It matches the Rfam family "Bacterial small subunit ribosomal RNA", at positions 370 to 772 of the family's 1533-position model. The record is from RNAcentral.
AAUGGGCGAGAGCCUGAACCAGCCAAGUAGCGUGAAGGAUGAAGGCUCUAUGGGUCGUAAACUUCUUUUAUAUGGGAAUAAAGUUUUCCACGUGUGGAAUUUUGUAUGUACCAUAUGAAUAAGGAUCGGCUAACUCCGUGCCAGCAGCCGCGGUAAUACGGAGGAUCCGAGCGUUAUCCGGAUUUAUUGGGUUUAAAGGGAGCGUAGGUGGAUUGUUAAGUCAGUUGUGAAAGUUUGCGGCUCAACCGUAAAAUUGCAGUUGAAACUGGCAGUCUUGAGUACAGUAGAGGUGGGCGGAAUUCGUGGUGUAGCGGUGAAAUGCUUAGAUAUCACGAAGAACUCCGAUUGCGAAGGCAGCUCACUAGACUGUUACUGACACUGAUGCUCGAAAGUGUGGGUAUCAAA